AUUGAACGCUGGCGGCAGGCCUAACACAUGCAAGUCGGACGGUAGCACAGAGUAGCUUGCUCCUCGGGUGACGAGUGGCGGACGGGUGAGUAAUGUCUGGGGAUCUGCCCGAUAGAGGGGGAUAACCACUGGAAACGGUGGCUAAUACCGCAUAACGUCGCAAGACCAAAGAGGGGGACCUUCGGGCCUCUCACCAUCGGAUGUGCCCAGAUGGGAUUAGCUAGUAGGUGGGGUAAUGGCUCACCUAGGCGACGAUCCCUAGCUGGUCUGAGAGGAUGACCAGCCACACUGGAACUGAGACACGGUCCAGACUCCUACGGGAGGCAGCAGUGGGGAAUAUUGCACAAUGGGCGCAAGCCUGAUGCAGCCAUGCCGCGUGUAUGAAGAAGGCCUUCGGGUUGUAAAGUACUUUCAGCGGGGAGGAAGGCGGUGAGGUUAAUAACCUCGCCGAUUGACGUUACCCGCAGAAGAAGCACCGGCUAACUCCGUGCCAGCCGCCGCCGUAA
Molecule: ribosomal RNA, 506 nt
Filed under: uncultured bacterium
Lineage: Bacteria
Description: partial 16S ribosomal RNA
Rfam family: Bacterial small subunit ribosomal RNA
Source: RNAcentral